UACGUAGGGUGCGAGCGUUAAUCGGAAUUACUGGGCGUAAAGCGUGCGCAGGCGGUUUGCUAAGACAGGUGUGAAAUCCCCGGGCUUGACCUGGGAACUGCGCUUGUGACUGGCAGGCUAGAGUGAAGUAGGGGUAAGCGGAACUUGCGGUGGAGCGGUGAAAUGCUUUGAUAUCGCAAGGAACACCGGCGGCGAAGGCGGCUUACUGUGCUUCAACUGACGCUUAAGCGCGAAAGCUAGGGUAGCGAACGGGAUUAGAUACCCGUGUAGUCCCU
This 275-nucleotide ribosomal RNA is filed under the name uncultured prokaryote. RNAcentral describes it as "partial 16S ribosomal RNA". It matches the Rfam family "Bacterial small subunit ribosomal RNA", at positions 524 to 798 of the family's 1533-position model. The record is from RNAcentral.